RNAcentral lists this ribosomal RNA (253 nucleotides) under uncultured bacterium. RNAcentral's name for it is "partial 16S ribosomal RNA". It matches the Rfam family "Bacterial small subunit ribosomal RNA", at positions 524 to 776 of the family's 1533-position model. The record is from RNAcentral.
UACGGAAGGGGCAAGCGUUGUUCGGAAUCAUUGGGCGUAAAGGGCGCGUAGGCGGUCGCGUGUGUCUGCUGUGAAAGCGCACGGCUCAACCGUGUGAAGUCGGUAGAAACUGCGGGACUUGAGGCUGGGAGAGGUUGGUGGAAUUCCCUGUGUAGCGGUGAAAUGCGUAGAUAUAGGGGAGAACACUCGUGGCGAAGGCGGCCAGCUGGACCAGUCCUGACGCUGAGGCGCGACAGCGUGGGGAGCAAACAGG